GGAGUAAUYUAAACGGCCGCGGAAUUUUAACCGUGCUAAGGUAGCAUAAUCAUUUGUCUUUUAAUUUAAGACUUGUAUGAAUGGUUUAACGAAAUAUAGCUAUCCCUAAAAUAUUACAUAAAAAUUAUUCUUAAAGUGAAAAAACUUUAAUAUAGUAAAAAGACAAAAAGACCCUAUAGAGUUUAAUUUAUUACUAUAAAAAAUACUUAUAAAUUUAGUUGGGGCAACUGAUGAAAAAAAAAAUUUCUUUUAGCCAAAUAAAUAUAUAAUCAUUAAUUUAAUAACAUAAAACAAAUUACCUUAGGGGUAACAGCAUAAAUUUUUUUUGAGAGUCCAAAUCGAAAAAAAAAAUUAU
RNAcentral lists this ribosomal RNA (355 nucleotides) under Gymnomeniidae sp. 1 FSB-2019. RNAcentral's name for it is "partial large subunit ribosomal RNA". Lineage: Eukaryota; Metazoa; Mollusca; Solenogastres; Pholidoskepia; Gymnomeniidae. The record is from RNAcentral.